This 274-nucleotide ribosomal RNA is filed under the name uncultured bacterium. RNAcentral's name for it is "partial 16S ribosomal RNA". It matches the Rfam family "Bacterial small subunit ribosomal RNA", at positions 523 to 796 of the family's 1533-position model. The record is from RNAcentral.
AUACGGAGGGUCCAAGCGUUAUCCGGAUUCAUUGGGUUUAAAGGGUCCGCAGGCGGGAAAAUAAGUCAGUGGUGAAAGCCUACAGCUCAACUGUAGAACUACCAUUGAUACUGUUUUUCUUGAGUAUAGAUGAAGUGGGCGGAAUAUAUCAUGUAGCGGUGAAAUGCAUAGAUAUGAUAUAGAACACCGAUUGCGAAGGCAGCUCACUAAACUAUUACUGACGCUCAGGGACGAAAGCGUGGGGAGCGAACAGGAUUAGAUACCCUAGUAGUCC